CCGAGUUUACAACUCCCAAACCCCUGUGAACAUACCACUUGUUGCCUCGGCGGAUCAGCCCGCUCCCGGUAAAACGGGACGGCCCGCCAGAGGACCCCUAAACUCUGUUUCUAUACGUAACUUCUGAGUAAAACCAUAAAUAAAUCA
RNAcentral lists this unclassified non-coding RNA (147 nucleotides) under soil metagenome. RNAcentral's name for it is "partial internal transcribed spacer 1". The record is from RNAcentral.